UACCUAUCCUAACCUAAACUAGCCUAACAUUCCAUUUUCACAUUACAUUCCAUUUUUUAUGUAGGCCUACAUUAACUAUUUUUCUUAAUUACAUUUUUUUUAUUUUUCAAGGAUGUGGAGGACGAUGAGGAAGAGCCGGCCGGGGAUGUGGAAGAGACUGUUGAAGAUGCUGUCGAGGAGGCUGUUGAAGAGGCUGUCGAGGAGGCUGUCGAAAAGGCUGUCGAAGAGGCGAGUGGAGAGGCUUUCUGAAGGAGGCUGAGGUUCUAAAUGAGCUGGAGCAAGAUGUGGAGGACGAUGAGGAAGAGCCGGCCGGGGAUUGAGACCUAGAGGCUGUUGAAGAGGCUGUUGAGGAGGCUGUUGAAGAGGCUGUUGAAGAGGCUGUCGAAGAGGCUGUCGAGGAGGCUGUCGAAAAGGCUGUCGAAGAGGCGAGUGGAGAGGCUUUCUGAAGGAGGAUGAUGUUCUAAGUGAGCUGGAGCAAAUAGGCUGGUAACCAAAACGAAUGUGAGAAGAUG
This 512-nucleotide long non-coding RNA is filed under the name Nilaparvata lugens (brown planthopper). Its description in RNAcentral is "uncharacterized LOC111055979, transcript variant X2". Lineage: Eukaryota; Metazoa; Arthropoda; Insecta; Hemiptera; Delphacidae. The record is from RNAcentral.